RNAcentral lists this ribosomal RNA (435 nucleotides) under Ephedrus helleni. RNAcentral's name for it is "eukaryotic LSU rRNA". Lineage: Eukaryota; Metazoa; Arthropoda; Insecta; Hymenoptera; Braconidae. The record is from RNAcentral.
AGUACGUGAAACCGUUCAGGGGUAAACCUGAGAAACCCAAAAGAUCGAAUGGGGAGAUUCAUCGUCAGCAUGUUUAAUAUAUAUAUGAGUUAUGAUGUAGAUUAUGUUUAAUGUUUAUCAUUAAACUAAUUUGCACGUACUUGUAUUAUUUUAUUGUUGAACAUUGUCGUCGUGCACUUCUCCCCUAGUAGGACGUCGCGACCCGUUAAGUGUCGGUUUACGGUCCGAUUGAGUUGCCUUUGAUAGUUAAAUAUUAAAGACCAAUUGGUGUUUCCUAACCGACUGCUUGGCGGUACUCGUACGGUAUUGAGUCGCAAAUUUAUUUGCGUUUACACCCGUUAUCAGCUAUUAGUUGUAACGGUGUUCUGUAACUGGCUCUCAAUAUAAUUACCGGUCGGCGACGCUACUGCUUUGGGUACUUUCAGGACCCGUCUU